Molecule: transfer RNA, 65 nt
Filed under: Dipodomys ordii (Ord's kangaroo rat)
Lineage: Eukaryota; Metazoa; Chordata; Mammalia; Rodentia; Heteromyidae
Rfam family: tRNA
About the family: Transfer RNA (tRNA) molecules are approximately 80 nucleotides in length. Their secondary structure includes four short double-helical elements and three loops (D, anti-codon, and T loops).
Source: Rfam by way of RNAcentral
GGUGACUCAGUGGUAGAGUGCUUGCCUUGCAUGCAUGAGGCCCUGGGUUUGAUCCCUCAGUACCA